This 2082-nucleotide long non-coding RNA is filed under the name Homo sapiens (human). Its description in RNAcentral is "HSALNT0376780". The record is from RNAcentral. Lineage: Eukaryota; Metazoa; Chordata; Mammalia; Primates; Hominidae.
UUCUUAUGCCUGUCUUUACUGCAAUCUUGGAACAUAAAUUCUUUCUGGAACAAUGUCAAAAGUCAUUCAUUUGGGGGGAACUCAUUCUCUACAAGCAAACUACAAAGCCUUUGCGUGAAGACAGAGGAUAUCUGGAAUUUGAUUGUAUUUCUCACACUGUCUAGUGCUAAUUACAACACACAGAUAUUCAAUCAAAACAUAUUUGCCACUGAAAAUAUCCUCUGGUCAUUUAUUUGGCUCAACGGACCUAUAUGGCCAUUCCCUCUUCCACAGUUGUAAAGACUUUGCCUAAUUUCUGGCAACUAUAGAAGUAGUGGAAUGAACCAGAAUAUGAAGGAUGAAAAGCAUCAGGGAGAAACACUUCUUCAAAUCUCUACUUGAAGAAGACUAAGUGUUCUUGUUUUUCUUUAAUAGAAAUACAUCCAGGAAAAAAAAAAAAAGAGAAAGUGAAGUAUGUUUUAACUAAACAAGGAAAUAUUAAAGAUCGCAUAGGAUAUAGGAAACAUUUUUCAUCCAGCGUCUGACUACAAUCAUGGUUAUGCCUUAAGAAAUUAACUUAGCAAUAGAGGAGAAGACAAGUUAUAUGUAGAAGAAGAUUAACAACAGGUUGAUACAAUCACCCAAACAAGAGAUUAAUACAGCAAAUCUCAGAGAAAUAUCUUGUCCACUGUCAAACAGUUGAUAAGAAGCCAAACCUGACUUUGAGCCCAGAACUUGGAUCAUUCUCAGUGCUGUUUGGAGAAGAGUCUUUAGAAGUGCAAUGGUGGAGAAUGGAGAUCACUUAAGAUACUACUGAAAUUCUCCAAGCUGCUAGAAGUAAAGGUGGUAAGAUGUAAUUGAAUCUUAGGUAUAUUUUGAAAUUUGGUGAUUGAUUCAAUGUAGAAAGUGAAAGAAAGAUGUUUCAAGGACCACACCAGCUUUGGAGCCUGAAUAACUGGUAUAAUGGAGUUGGCAUGUAUUGAGUUGGGGAGACUGUGAAAAGAGCACGUUUGGAACGAGUAUUGAGAGUUUUUCUUUGGACAUGCUAAUUCUAAGAUGCCUAAUAGACUGUCAAGCAAUUUUAGUAGUCAUUUGGGUAAAAAGUCUAAUACAAGGAAUAAGUCUCAAUUGGAAAUAUAAAUUUGUAAUCACCAAAUUUACAGAUGAUUUGUAAAGACAUGAGAGUGCAUAUAAUUUAUUCAGACAGCAUAGAUAGAGAAGAUGUGGAAACCAUACCAAAAUUUAAAGUUGGUGAAUAAAGGGGGACCAGCAUUUUUAAAAAAAUUAAAAUAAUUGAUUAGAAGAAAAAAUAAGAGAAAACAAAUUUCCUGGAUAAAAUAAUUGAUAAAGUGAUGGCAUCUUAGUUUGAGUUCCCUUGAAAGCAGAGCCUGAGAUAAGAACUGGGAAAGGAUAGUUUAUUUGGGACAUUAUCAUGAAGCCAGAAUGAGGGAAUGGCAAGAAUGAUACAGGGAAAGAUCAACAUAGAGGUGCAUUAUUAAUCUGGUUACCACUGUGGAAACUAGGGCUUCUCAGAAUUAUCAAAAGCUCCCCUUCCCCAGUUCCCAUUGUCCACUGAUGGAGGAUUGCUCUCUGGAACAUUGACUUCCCUAUCUUACCAGGCUUCUUAAGUACAUGGGCUCUUAUGGCUUCAUGAAGGCCCUGAGAAUGAAAGCAGAAUAACAGCUGGAUUUAGGUUGAGGUGAAAUAGUUCCAGAAUAAGUCUGAACUUUCAAAGCAUUGUCUAAUGUUGCUGCAGCUGAAAUCAGAGCUGGCAAGGGAAUGGGAUGUGGGGAUAGGUCAUGUGACACCAGGGGAAAUUACUGAAAUAUCUGACUCAAAGUAGCUAAUAUUAGCAUUUUACCCCCACAGCCACAGUGAUGGAUUUAUGGCUGGCUGUAUGACACAACCUGAGCCAGAGUCUUUCUCUAAUUUUGUUUUAAUUUGUCCUGUAAGGAAAUUACCUUUGCUUUCUAGUUGUUUGUUUAUGAGUUUGUAAACUCUUGGCCAACUAAAACCAUUCCCCUAUUACAUGGAAAUCACUAUAGCCAUAGGAAAAAAAAUCAAGAAAAGAGAAUAAAGAGACAACCGCAAAUUGGGAGAAAA